RNAcentral lists this ribosomal RNA (252 nucleotides) under uncultured bacterium. RNAcentral's name for it is "partial 16S ribosomal RNA". It matches the Rfam family "Bacterial small subunit ribosomal RNA", at positions 524 to 776 of the family's 1533-position model. The record is from RNAcentral.
UACGGAGGAUGCGAGCGUUAUCCGGAUUUAUUGGGUUUAAAGGGUGCGCAGGCGGGCUGUUAAGCCGGCGGUAAAAAUUCAGGGCUCAACCCUGUCGAGCCGUCGGAACUGGCAGUCUUGAGUGGGCGAGAAGUAUGCGGAAUGCGUGGUGUAGCGGUGAAAUGCAUAGAUAUCGAGAGGAACACUCGUGGCGAAGGCGGGUUCCUGGACAUUAACUGACGCUGAGGCACGAAGGCCAGGGGAGCGAAAGGG